GGAGCAUGGUCACGAAAUGAAGGCGAUGCCACUCCUAUCAUCAUGGAUGUUUUCUUGAACGAAGAUUCAUCUACACGCCAGGGACACACCUUCAUUUCAGAUGAGCUUGUUCUGCAUUAAUGAAUGACACCUUUAUUGCUGAUGGGCUUGUUCUUCAUUAAUGUGUGACGCACCUUCAUUGCAGAUGGACUUGUCUUGCAUAAAAGUGUAAAAAAGCAUUUACACAUAAAAGUGUAAAUAAGCAUAUACACUUUUAUAUCUCUCAUCGGUUCAUCUACAUGCCAGGGACACACCUUAACUGCAGAUGAGCUUGUUCUGCAUAAAAGUGUAAAUAAGCAUUUACACUUUUAUAUCCCUCAUCGGUAAGAGCCAUAAGACCGUCUUUAAAAAAAGAUUUCAGGUCUUGGGUUUAUCACAUGCUUUAAAAUAACAGUCAAAGUGUCUAAGUCUAAGCUAAUAAGACAGUCAAAAAAUCUGAGGUCUUAGCUUCAAGACCAGUAAUUUCCUGAAGUGACUUUUUAAUUUAAAAAAGUUGGACACUUUUAGCAACUUUCAAGUGAAUCUCAGUACUUCAGUGCACUUUUCAUUUGUACCAAUUUAUGUCAAAUUAUAUGAUGGCUUUGCCAGAAUUCGGUUUUGUUAUUGAAUUCGUAUUUUUUGGUUCGUUUGUUUUUUGUUUAUUAAUAUUCCUGGACUAAUUCCAGGUUUAUAUUAAAGUGAUUUAUUUUGGUUUACUUGUAUUUACAAAGUAAAAUAUUUUUGCUGACUGAAACUCGUGACAGAAAAUCUGAGGCCUUAGUUUCAAGACCACACUUUUUAUUUGUGCCAAUUCAUAUCAAAUUGUAAGAUGGGAUGGCCAGAAUUUUGUUUUCCUAGUGAAUUUAUAUUUAUUUCUUUGUUUUUUAUUCAUUAAUAUUCCUGGACAAAUUCCAGGCUUAUAAUGAAGUGAUUAUGGCUAUUAUAGCAAGUGAUCAAUUUUUGUUCGGUUGUAUUUGCAAAGUAAAAUAUGUUUUAUUUUUGUUGACUGAAA
This is a non-coding RNA of Bemisia tabaci, 1030 nucleotides long. The record is from RefSeq and is a predicted model, not a curated record. Lineage: Eukaryota; Metazoa; Arthropoda; Insecta; Hemiptera; Aleyrodidae.